Long non-coding RNA from Homo sapiens (human), 1121 nucleotides. Ensembl annotates it as long intergenic non-protein coding RNA 411. NCBI's taxonomy places the organism in Eukaryota, Metazoa, Chordata, Mammalia, Primates, Hominidae. The record is from Ensembl.
AUUUAUGUAAAUCUCUGUCCUGGUAAGGCACAUGUUGAUGUACUUGGGCUUAAGCUCAUAAACCAAGAGGAACAGUUUCCUACAUCCCCCUUCUAAUGACUAAAGCCAACGGGCUGAGCCAAAUGGGACAAUUUAGACAAAGAGAGACUGGCGAAAAGCAAAUGAAUGUCUGCUUCCUUCUAGCAUUCUAGGAAAAAUACCAAGCGGCUGUGCCAAUGUGCACUGCUUGCCUUUGUUAGGAGAAUACACUCAAAAUCAGGGGAAUCAGUCAGUACCAGGUUCAGGAAAGAUGUAUGCAAGAGAGACUCCCUGAUGAGGAAAAAUCGACUACAGAAACACAGCAUGCACCCAGCUCAGCACAAACACAGCUUAAAAAUCCAAGGAAUUAGGAUGAAGUGUAGAAUCCCGAGGUUCUCAUUCUUGUUCCCAUAAGCCAGGAUUGGCUGAGCCUUAGCCAGGAUACCACCUGGCAUUCAGCCACAUCGGCUAAAGAGAUGAGGAACCUGAGAGGAAACAAAUGUGAGGAAGAGGAUGAUUCAAGAGGACCAGAAAUACAAGGAAAGGACAGAGGCCCUCGGAUGGUUCACUGCAGAGAAGACAGGCUGAAAGAUUUAGGAACCGGCUGAAAGCCAACAUGCCAGAGCCUCCCAAAGGGUGGAAUCAGAGAUCUCUCCUGCUAUUAUUGUAUCAGCAGCCUCACGUCUACCCUCGGGCCUGAAUUUUGUUAUAGAUUUAUACACAUUUGAUAUAGAGUCCUUCCCAUGCUACUUUCCUACUAUCUCUGUGUUUCCUAGAACCAAGAUGAGAAAAUGUAGGCCACAAAACUUUCCUGACGCUCCCAAAGUCAUCCAGCAAGAAGUACCAGAAUCAAAAUCUUCUUAUCCUUGCAAAAAAAAAGAAAGAAAACAUAAAUAAAAGUGGAACAGUAAGAAUCACAAAAAAGAGUGAGGGAGACAGAGAGAAUCGGGAGGUACUACAAGAGGAAGAAACCUAAAUCUAAUUUAUCUCACUUGGAAUUAAGGACAAUUUGUAAAAUUUAGCAGUAAAGACUGUAAUAUGUUUGAAAUUUGAUAGACUUGGGAGAUGUAAUAAGAACAGUCUUUUUUUGCAAGUGUUUAUUU